AGGGUAAUAGCUCAGUGGUAGAGUGCAUGCUUUGCAUACGUGAGGUCCUGGGUUCAAUCUCCAGUACCUCCA
RNAcentral lists this transfer RNA (72 nucleotides) under Camelus bactrianus (Bactrian camel). It matches the Rfam family "tRNA". From Rfam's summary of the family: Transfer RNA (tRNA) molecules are approximately 80 nucleotides in length. The record is from Rfam by way of RNAcentral. RNAcentral also lists the same sequence under 1 other name. Lineage: Eukaryota; Metazoa; Chordata; Mammalia; Artiodactyla; Camelidae.